Molecule: long non-coding RNA, 2175 nt
Organism: Pipistrellus kuhlii (Kuhl's pipistrelle)
Lineage: Eukaryota; Metazoa; Chordata; Mammalia; Chiroptera; Vespertilionidae
Exons: 2
Source: RefSeq, a predicted model, not a curated record
CCUGUUCAGAGAAGCAAAAAGGUAUCAUUCCAUCCUUAGCUCCUUUCAGAAGUUGGCGAGUCCUAGGCUAAGUAUAGUGCAGUGAGGUCUUAUCAGCCCAGGGAGCAUGGACUCUGCUGCCACUUGCUCUGCUUCUCUAAUCCUUGUCUGAAGUGCUUACCUUGAAGAGUGUUCAAUAUUCCAUGUUUCUGGCUUUUCCUGCAUAUGUCUCCAAAAUCUAUAUCUUCCUGUGAUCUCUGUCCUAAGUUCUAAGCCUGCUUCUCCAUCAUUUCUGUCUUUGGAUCCUUUUUCUAAGUCCUGUUCUUUCUGAGCACACCCUCUGACUCUUCUCCAUACUGCUGCUGAGGAAAGUCCUUGAAAACAAGAACAGAGUUUUGUUUCAGGAUGUGGCUGAGGCAGGGGUGUGAGGGCUGAGCGGGAACCACGACAGUUCUCCAGAGGGGGUGUCUGGGCACACGAGGGCUUUUUUAUCUGGCUACAUGGUGGCAUGGAACUUAGAAUCCUGCAUAGUCCUACAGUUAGGAUGUUGAGGGGUCUGGGUUGCCACAUGGCUGUCUCCCCUGCUCACAUCACCCUGCUCUUUGGGGCAUGGGGAAGCGGUUUGCUGUGUCUAGCCAGUGAAAUCUUGGCUAGCCAUAGAGUUACCUGAGCAUGUUAACCAGGCCCUGCUCAUUGCCACCUGGGUGACACGUAGCACCAGCCUUGGGGUGCAGCCAACUUCCCAGCUGUGUGAUCCUAGGCAGGGCACAGGUCUGCCAGCCCUGGUUUCCUCAUCUUUUAAAUGCAGAGCUUGAUGAAUAGUUCAGUGAAUGUUUGUGUCCUUUGGCUUCUUUUAAUCCUGUUUAACGGUCACUUCUUCCCUCUUUUGGCUGUAACAGUGAUUGCUAUUCAGCUUUGCAUUCAAAGAAGCUGCCCUUCUAGACUAGGUGUCUUGAGGAUUCAUGUUAGAGGCUGUCUCCUUGGCUCACAGAAGUUAGUCACAUGCUGGUGUUCAGAGGCCCUCAGUGAUGGAUCAGGUUCCUGUCUCUGUCUCUACCUGCCCAGCUCUGAGCUGUUGUUCUGUGAUACCAUGCGCCUGGCCUCUUUGCUCCUUCCCUUUUCCUAGCCUGGCUCAUUCAAAAGUCAGCAACGGCACUGUUUUCUCUCUGGGGGUGAGAACCUCUCAGGUGCUUCUGUAGUGCCUUUAUUCCACACUCCGCAUUUAUGAUGUGACAUUGACUUAAUAGUGUGUCAUUAUUCCCUGUCACAAGUUAGGGGUAGAUGCCAGGUGUGAGAAAUAAAUGCUUUGGAACGCCUAUAUAGUAUGGACUGACUUUGCCAGGGCUAUGGCAGCCCCAGGAUUUGCUGUUGAGUUCCUCCUCACAGUGGUCCUGAGAUUGGGGGUUCCUCCUCACUCUGCCACUGACAGAAGGCUGAGGUGGAAAUAAGAAGGAUUUGCCUGGGUCACCUGGGCAAAGAAAGACUGGAGCAAGGUCAUGAUUAUAACCUUAGGCUACAUGUUCUAUUAAUUAAUGUUUAUUUAGUGAUUUUUAAAAAAUACCUGGCUCUUACACAUAGCAGGUCUCCAGUAAUGUGGAAUUAAUAAAAUGCUAAGUGGAAAAUUUGUGAACAAAUUGGUAUCUUAUUUGCAUUGAGAUUAUUAAUAAUCGUUUCAUAGGGAGCUGAAUUCUCAAGAUUGUCAAGGGGUUUUUUGGAAAGUUUUGAGAGAGAGAGUUUUUAUUUUAUAAUUUCUCCAAAGAACCACUACCAUUUUCUUUCAAAUGUUUCAUUGGUACUAAGAGAUAAUUAAUGAAGAAGCAAUAAUAUAUUGUUCCUAUUUGACAACUAAAGAAAGUAUAUUCCAAAUUUGGUUAUUUGAAAUUUAUUUUGGGUGCGGAUGUCUAGAAUAGAUUCUUUCAUAGGUUUGCAUGAAAAAUAUAAUAGGCAUGCUGACGUGGUGUCCACAACCAGAAAAUAUAAGUUUGGGAUUAGCUUAAUGGUUGGGGUGGAAGGAAUAGAUCCAGGAACUGAUAGCCUUUUCCCUCUGGCUGGGCCCUGGCCAUUCUAGAAGCUGCAGGCAGGAAUUUCUUAAGAAAGAAUAACAUCAGGUCCUUGUUUGUUUUCGGAUUUGGGAUGAUUUGGUGUACUUGUGCAUAAACCCCCAAUUUGAAUAUUCAUUGAAAUUUUUUUAAAUUA